GACGAACGCUGGCGGCGCGCCUAACACAUGCAAGUCGAACGGAGUCAAGAGGAGCUUGCUUUUCUUGACUUAGUGGCGAACGGGUGAGUAACGCGUGAGUAACCUGCCCUGGAGUGGGGGACAACAGUUGGAAACGACUGCUAAUACCGCAUAAGCCCACGGAUCUGCAUGGAUCUGCGGGAAAAGGAUUUAUUCGCUCUAGGAUGGACUCGCGUCCAAUUAGCUAGUUGGUGAGGUAACGGCCCACCAAGGCGACGAUUGGUAGCCGGACUGAGAGGUUGAACGGCCACAGUGGGACUGAGACACGGCCCAGACUCCUACGGGAGGCAGCAGUGGGGGAUAUUGCACAAUGGGGGAAACCCUGAUGCAGCGACGCCGCGUGGAGGAAGAAGGUUUUCGGAUUGUAAACCCCUGUCGUUAGGGACGAUAAUGACGGUACCUAACAAGAAAGCACCGGCUAACUACGUG
Molecule: ribosomal RNA, 468 nt
Filed under: uncultured bacterium
Lineage: Bacteria
Description: partial 16S ribosomal RNA
Rfam family: Bacterial small subunit ribosomal RNA
Source: RNAcentral